This 407-nucleotide ribosomal RNA is filed under the name uncultured bacterium. RNAcentral describes it as "partial 16S ribosomal RNA". It matches the Rfam family "Bacterial small subunit ribosomal RNA", at positions 30 to 526 of the family's 1533-position model. The record is from RNAcentral.
AUUGAACGCUGGCGGCAGGCCUAACACAUGCAAGUCGAGCGGAGCGGCGGACGGGUGAGUAAUGCCUAGGAAUCUGACUGGUAGUGGGGGAUAACGUCCGGAAAAGGGCGCUAAUACCGCAUAAUAUCAGAUGAGCCUAGGUCGGAUUAGCUAGUGGGUGGGGUAAAGGCCUACCAAGGCGACGAUCCGUAACUGGUAUGAGAGGAUGAUCAGUCACACUGGAACUGAGACACUGUCCAUACUCCUACGGGAGGCAGCAGUGGGGAAUAUUGGACAAUGGGCGAAAGCCUUAUCCAGCCAUGCCGCGUGUGUGAGGAAGGUCUUCGGAUUGUAAAGCACUUUAAGUUGGGAGGCGUUACCAACAGAAUAAGCACCGGCUAACUUCGUGCCAGCAGCCGCGGUAAUAC